GACCGCGUCGUUCAACGGCUAGGACACUCGCCUACUAAGCAUGAGAUCCCGGUUCGAAUCCGGGCGCGGUCG
RNAcentral lists this transfer RNA (72 nucleotides) under Acidobacteriota bacterium. Its description in RNAcentral is "tRNA-Ser". It matches the Rfam family "tRNA". From Rfam's summary of the family: Transfer RNA (tRNA) molecules are approximately 80 nucleotides in length. Their secondary structure includes four short double-helical elements and three loops (D, anti-codon, and T loops). Further hydrogen bonds mediate the characteristic L-shaped molecular structure. tRNAs have two regions of fundamental functional importance: the anti-codon, which is responsible for specific mRNA codon recognition, and the 3' end, to which the tRNAs corresponding amino acid is attached (by aminoacyl-tRNA synthetases). tRNAs cope with the degeneracy of the genetic code in two manners: having more than one tRNA (with a specific anti-codon) for a particular amino acid; and 'wobble' base-pairing, i.e. permitting non-standard base-pairing at the 3rd anti-codon position. The record is from RNAcentral. Lineage: Bacteria; Pseudomonadati; Acidobacteriota.